This 67-nucleotide transfer RNA is filed under the name Rhopalopsole subnigra. RNAcentral's name for it is "tRNA-Arg". Lineage: Eukaryota; Metazoa; Arthropoda; Insecta; Plecoptera; Leuctridae. The record is from RNAcentral.
AGGUAAGAAGCGAUUAAUUGCAGUCAGUUUCGACCUGCCCUUAGGUACUUCAGUAUACCCUUACCUU